GGGUGGUAAUGCCGGAUGCUCCAGUUGACCGCAUGGUCCUCUGGGAAAGCUUUUGCGGUAUGGGAUGGGGUCGCGUCCUAUCAGCUUGAUGGCGGGGUAACGGCCCACCAUGGCUUCGACGGGUAGCCGGCCUGAGAGGGCGACCGGCCACAUUGGGACUGAGAUACGGCCCAGACUCCUACGGGAGGCAGCAGUGGGGAAUAUUGCACAAUGGGCGCAAGCCUGAUGCAGCGACGCCGCGUGCGGGAUGACGGCCUUCGGGUUGUAAACCGCUUUUGACUGGGAGCAAGCCUUCGGGGUGAGUGUACCUUUCGAAUAAGCACCGGCUAACUACGUGCCAGCAGCCGCGGUAAU
This 354-nucleotide ribosomal RNA is filed under the name Bifidobacterium adolescentis. RNAcentral describes it as "bacterial SSU rRNA". It matches the Rfam family "Bacterial small subunit ribosomal RNA", at positions 158 to 524 of the family's 1533-position model. The record is from RNAcentral. Lineage: Bacteria; Bacillati; Actinomycetota; Actinomycetes; Bifidobacteriales; Bifidobacteriaceae.